UGGGGAAUUUUGGACAAUGGGCGAAAGCCUGAUCCAGCAAUGCCGCGUGUGUGAAGAAGGCCUUCGGGUUGUAAAGCACUUUUGUCCGGAAAGAAAUCCUUGGCUCUAAUACAGUCGGGGGAUGACGGUACCGGAAGAAUAAGCACCGGCUAACUACGUGCCAGCAGCCGCGGUAAUACGUAGGGUGCAAGCGUUAAUCGGAAUUACUGGGCGUAAAGCGUGCGCAGGCGGUUUGCUAAGACCGAUGUGAAAUCCCCGGGGCUAACCUGGGAACUGCAUUGGUGACUGGCAGGCUAGAGUAUGGCAGAGGGGGGUUAAAUUCCACGUGUAGCAGUGAAAUGCGUAGAGAUGUGGAGGAAUACCGAUGGCGAAGGCAGCCCCCCUGGGCCAAUACUGACGCUCAUGCACGAAAAGCGUGGGGAGCAAACAGGAUUAGAUACCCUGGUAGUCCACGCCCUAAACGAUGUCAACUAGUUGUUGGGGAUUCAUUCCUUAGUAACGUAGCUAACGCGUGAAGUUGACCGCCUGGGGAGUACGGUCGCAAG
Molecule: ribosomal RNA, 545 nt
Filed under: uncultured bacterium
Lineage: Bacteria
Description: partial 16S ribosomal RNA
Rfam family: Bacterial small subunit ribosomal RNA
Source: RNAcentral